UGGGGAAUAUUGGACAAUGGGCGCAAGCCUGAUCCAGCCAUGCCGCGUGGAUGAUGAAGGCCCUAGGGUUGUAAAGUCCUUUCGACGGGGAAGAUAAUGACGGUACCCGUAGAAGAAGCCCCGGCUAACUUCGUGCCAGCAGCCGCGGUAAUACGAAGGGGGCUAGCGUUGCUCGGAAUCACUGGGCGUAAAGCGCACGUAGGCGGACUCUUAAGUCGGUGGUGAAAUCCUGGAGCUCAACUCCAGAACUGCCUUCGAUACUGAGAGUCUUGAGUCCGGGAGAGGUGAGUGGAACUGCGAGUGUAGAGGUGAAAUUCGUAGAUAUUCGCAAGAACACCAGUGGCGAAGGCGGCUCACUGGCCCGGUACUGACGCUGAGGUGCGAAAGCGUGGGGAGCAAACA
RNAcentral lists this ribosomal RNA (402 nucleotides) under uncultured bacterium. RNAcentral's name for it is "bacterial SSU rRNA". It matches the Rfam family "Bacterial small subunit ribosomal RNA", at positions 355 to 774 of the family's 1533-position model. The record is from RNAcentral.